Molecule: ribosomal RNA, 516 nt
Filed under: uncultured bacterium
Lineage: Bacteria
Description: bacterial SSU rRNA
Rfam family: Bacterial small subunit ribosomal RNA
Source: RNAcentral
GAAGAAGGCCUUCGGGUUGUAAACCGCUUUUAGUCGGGAAGAAAAGAUCACUCUUAAUACGGGUGGUUCUUGACGGUACCGGCGGAAUAAGCACCGGCUAACUACGUGCCAGCAGCCGCGGUAAUACGUAGGGUGCGAGCGUUAAUCGGAAUUACUGGGCGUAAAGCGUGCGCAGGCGGUUCGUUAAGUUUGUCGUGAAAGCCCCGGGCUCAACCUGGGAAUGGCGAUGGAAACUGGCGGGCUUGAGUGUGGCAGAGGGGGGUGGAAUUCCACGUGUAGCAGUGAAAUGCGUAGAGAUGUGGAGGAACACCGAUGGCGAAGGCAGCCCCCUGGGCUAACACUGACGCUCAGGCACGAAAGCGUGGGGAGCAAACAGGAUUAGAUACCCUGGUAGUCCACGCCCUAAACUAUGUCAACUGGGUGUUGGGGAAGCGAUUCCUCAGUACCGUAGCUAACGCGUGAAGUUGACCGCCUGGGGAGUACGGCCGCAAGGUUAAAACUCAAAGGAAUUGACGG